AUUUAUCCAAAAAGUGCUGCAAAUCCCAUCUUCCAUGACUGAUUGCUGAGAUUAUACCCUCCAUCGACAGGCACGUUAACACCACUGAUAAAUUUAGCCUCAUCGCUUGCCAAAUACAGUGCUGCAUGUGCAAAAUCUUCAGGUUCCAAUACGGUGCCUUUCAACACAGCUGAAGCCGCAAUCAUCUCCUCUCCCUUCUUCUUAUCGAGCAACCCCAGUGUUGUUUGGAACAAUGGGGUCACAGUUGCGUGAGGUGAAAUGCAAUUAACUCUAAUUCCAUGCUCACCUAACUCCACGGCCAAGCUCUUCGUCAACCCUACGACGCCAUGCUUCGAUGCCUUGUAUGCAUGGGGCAGACCGAUGCUGAUUUUUGAAGAAAUACUCGACGAGAAGAGAAUGCAACCUUUCUUGGCCGGAACCAUGACCUUGGCUGCAUACUUGGCUCCCAAGAAUCCACCCAAGACAUUGAUAUCGAACACUCUCUUGAAGUUGUCAGUGCUGGCGUCUGUCACUCUGACUUCACCAUCACCAAUAAGGCCUGCAUUGUUGAACAUGAUAUCGAGUUUUCCAUACUUGGAGACCGCUAAGUUUACGGCAUUUUCGACAUCAGAUUCGCAUGUUACAUCACAAUGGACAUAGCUGAAGUUUUCAGUUCCAAGCUCUUUGCAAAGGGAGUGGCCCAAUUCGUCUUGAAUAUCAGCAAUCAGAACCUUGGCUCCAUGUUUGAGAAAUACCCUGGCUGAACACUCUCCUAAACCACUGGCACCACCAGUUAUCAGUGCCACCUUACCAUCUAGCCUGUAUCAAACAAAGUAGAAAAAAAGUUUAUAUACUAAAAUUCAGAACCAAACCUAUAAGAUAUCAUAUGUUAAGGGACUAAUUACAUGAACUCAAUUAAACUUGAAUCCUCCUUAUCAACAUUGACAGGAUGUAAAAUCAACUCGACUAGCGGAAUUGAAAUAUCUAAAUCCAAUAUAGUGAAAUAAGAAUUUAUGGAAUGCAAGGAUUUAGUUACCUCUUGGUUACUAAAGACUCGGAACCCAUUGUAGUUUGUGAAGAAAAUAGACCCUCGCCUUUGCUUUUUCUUUUGAUUGCAAUGCUUGGGAUGCUGUGGUUUCACGUCCUGUUAUUCUGCUCUUUAUAACUUCAGGGAUUGUUCUGAAAGAUCAAAAAUGGCGUCGUCCACGUUUGUAUGCUUUCAUUUUAAAAAUAAUAUAUUUACUAUAAACAAUAAUAUUGCGUCCAAAAAUUGAACUCCUCCACGUUUACUACUUUCUAGUCUACUGGAAAAAAUAUUUUUCCAUUAUUUUUGCUUUGACUUAGAAUAUGUCGGGACUUGUCAGUAUGGGCGUAACAUUUUAUAAUAUAUUUUACUACAUGUGUGUAGAAUUUAAAAUAUUUCAUUGUAUUUUUAUUUUUAGAAUUUUAAUUUAUUUACUUUUUCAAAAUUUAAAGUUUAGAAUCAAUCGUUAACAGUGUUAAUUUUUUUGUUAAAUUUAAGUUUAUUAGAACGUAAUUAUUUUUACUUGAUUGAAGAGAAGAGGUUGAAAGCUAUCCGUCAUGGUCAGAUGUAUCUAAAACGAAUGAUGCGAGCUUAUGACAAAAAGGUUCGCUCUAGAGAAUUCCAUGAGGGGGACCUGGUAUUGAAAAAGAUCCUUCCCAUACAAAAGAACUUCAGAGGAAAGUGGAUGCAAAGCUGGGAAAGACCUUAUGUGGUAAAGAAGGCGUUUUCUGGAGGAGUGUUGAUUUUGACCAAGAUGGAUGGCAAAAACCUGCCUGACCCUGUGAAUUCGGAUUCAGUCAAGAAAUACUUCACCUAAAAAAAAAGGGAGAGGCCAAGGCGAAAACUCGCAACAGGGCGUAUUGUGAGACCAAAGGGAUUUUGAGUUGAAAACCUAGGAAAUGGCAACUCAAAUUUAAAUCGAAGAUUGAACAUGUGGUAGUCGCAUCCUCUCAGAAGAAGAAACGUUACAUCUUGAGGCAUCAACAAAGUACUCUAGAUUUUCUAAACACAUAUCAAGCUCAAAAUGGUACUCGAGAAGUUUGUGCGGAGAAGCUUAUGCUAUGAUAUGUCGGGCACCUAUUUUCAUUUUACUCAUUUUGUAUUUCAGCAACGUUUGCUAUUUUGAUUUAUCUAUUCAUUUCGAGCAUUGCUCCCAAUAAAUUUCGAUCUUGUCCAUUGUUACAACAUUUUUCAAGCAUUUUUACAUUGAAAUAACAAUUAAUGGACUAAAAAUGUUCAAGUAAAAGGAUUUCUUCCUAUUGCUCUAAAAGGUUUUCUAAAUAGUGUAAGGACCUGAAACAUGACCAAUAGUCAAAACUAACCAAAUCUAAGGGUUGGAAAUAUUUGAGAACGAAUAGUUUGAAUUGUGUUUAUUUCUUCGAAUUUCCUGUCAAAGAUGCCAAAUUUGAACAAGAAAGCAGGGUAACACGUCAGUGAUAGAACCUUGACGAACAACGACCCAUGUCAACUUAAGCAUUAAAAAGGGAAUCAUGACAUUCUGCAUGCACGCAAAUAUCAUUCAUAUACAUCUAGUUAGGAGCAUUUGAUUCAUUCUGGUCAUAACAUCCUAAUCGCUUGGCAUAAAAAGGCUCAUGAAAUGGAUUCUACAGGUCAUGUUUCCCAAAGAACAGUGUAACAGAUCAGUGAAACCACAAAUCCUAUACCCCUAAAGUUGCAGUGGGUCAGAUUGAAAUCACCACAAUAAAUCUUAUCUCCCUAAAGUUGCAGUGGAGCAGAUCUAAGCUACAAAUCCUGCACCCCUGAAAUUGCAGUGGGUGGGAUCUACCAUAGUGAAUCUUAUCUCCCAGAAGUUGCAGUGGAGCAGAUUGAAGCUAAAAAUCCUAUACCCCUAAAGUUGCAGUAGGUCAGAUUAGAUCUACCAUAGUGAAUCUUAUCUCCCUGAAGUUGCAGUGGGUCAGAUUGAAUCUACCAUAGCGAAUCUUAUCUCUCUGAAGUUGCAGUGGAGCAAGAUGAAGCUACAAAUUCCAUACCCCUAAAGUUGCAGUGGAUUGAUUAAAACUACAGUGGCAAAUCUUAUCUCCCUAAAGUUGCAAUGGAGAAGAUGAAGCUACAAUUCCUAUAUCCCUAAAGUUGUAGGGUCGGAUUAAAUCUACCAUAUAAAGCAGAUUAAAGUUACAAACCUUAUCUCUCUAGAGUUGCAGUGGGUCGAAUUAAAUCUACCAUAGCGAGUCUGAUUUCCCUGAAGUUGCAGUGGAGCAGAUUAAAGCUACGAAUCUCAUCUCCCUGAAGUUGCAGCGGAGUAGAUUGAAAUUACCCUUGAAGUUGUAGUGGGCUAAAAUGAAGCUACUUGAAAAAGAGGAGCACCAAAGAAGUCUUUUCUCUAUUCCCGUUACACGACAACGAGCAAAAAGGGGCAGCUGUAAAGGCCCAAUUUUGUCCGACCCGAAACCAAAAAUAAAUAAACAAAAAAAUAAAAACCAAAAAAUAAAUAGUAAAACCCAAGUCCAUUUACAAAAUAUGCUAGUCCAUUUACAAGUCCCGAAAGCCUAAACAAUAAACCCUAAGGCCCAGUGGCCCAAUAGCCUAAACAUUUUUUCAGUAAAACAGAAACCUUAGUGCCCCCUGUGCUGCUGCCCUUGGCCACGUCAGCAUGCUCGCGCCCCAAAGCCUGACGCCUCAUCUGCCGCCCUUGCACCAAAACGGCGAAGGCAAGGGUCUUGCCCUGUUAUUGACCCUCCACUGCCACCUACAAAGAGAAAGCAAAAAGGACAACGUAGGAACAACAAAGAAACAACAACAAAAAAUAGUGGAAACCGCAAAAGCAACAGGGAAAAUGCAAAAAAAUAAUAUGUAACAUAUGGCUAUAAAUGCCAUAACCACUUACAAAAAAAAAUAGAGAUUUUGAAAUAGAAAUCAUAUACAAAUAUUAAAAUGUGAUUAACUCUCUUUUUUACUUUUCCUUUUUAAGUAAUAAAUAAAAAUAAAAACUAUCACCUGUCGUUUGGUCUUCGCGCCACCGUCGGUGUCUCCUUCGGUAUGAGAGGCCGUCGAAUCCUUGGAGAUUCGGCCAAGGCCGCGACAGAGAACAUCGGGAACCGAAAGGUGUUCUUCCUUUUUUGGGAGCUUCGGCUUUAGUUUGGUAUUUUCGACUCCAAAUUGGAGUUCUACACAUAAGAUGGGUUAAAAUGGGUUUUUUAGGCAAUUUUUCGGCCACGAUGGAGGUCCGUUGUUCCUAUGGCCGGACUUGGAGGCCUCUUUCAAAGGAAAAAAAAAUGGUUUUCAAAGUUUAAAAAAAAAACGAUAAGCAGGAUGAAUUUUUUUUAAAAAUUUUGGUUUAUAUAGGCUGGGUUAAACGACGCCGUUUUGACCUGUGUUUGUAAGUCCCAAAACGACAUCGUUUUGAAGUCGACCCGCGAACCCAACCCAACCCUAUCAAGAUCUGCGUGUUUUUUUAAAAGGGGUCUACUUGCUGCUUUGGUCCUUCCACCUUUUUACUACUCUUCAAUUUAGUCCUACUAUUUAUUAUUUUGUUAUUUUCGCCCCUUUUGUUUUGUUUUUUGUGCAAUUUAGUCCUUGGACCACUGUGGACCUAUUUAGGGGAUGACACGUGUCCCAUGGCUUGGAAUAAUUUCUCAUUUAGUCCAUGUUUCAUUUCGCGCAUCUCAUUUUGGUCUUUUAUUUUGUUUAUUUUUUAUUAUUUACAAUUUAUACCCCUAAUUUCAUUUAAAUUUCAAUUAAAUCCUCUGCUUAUUUCAUUUCAACCUUUCUACAAACUGUUAUUUAUUUAUUUAUUACUUCUUAUUUUUUUACACUUAAAAAUUAGAUUGUUUAUACUCUUUUAUUUGUGCAUUUUUUAUUCAUUUAUUAUUAUUGUCGUUAUUAUUUUUAUUUUUAUUAUUAUUAUUUUUCUUGUUAUUUUAUUAUUUCUUUUAUUAUUUUUGGUACUUUCAUGUCAUGUUUAUUUAUCUUUUUAAUCAUGCAUUUUCCAUUUUUAUUUUUAUUUUAAGUUACCUUAUUUAUUUUAGUAUUAUGUUCUUAUUAUUAUUAUUAUUAUUAUUAUUAUUAUUAUUAUUAUUAUUAUUAUUAUUAUUAAAUUAGUAUUAUUAUAGUAUUCUUUUAUUUAUUUAUUAUAUAUCAUUCUAAUAUUCUACCUAUAAAGCCAUUUUAUAUUAUUCCAUUAUCGCUAUAUUAUACAUUAUGUUUAAAUAUAAUUGUCCAUUUUUAUAUUAUAUCCAAAAGAUAAAUACACAUUAUUUUAAAUGUUACAUUUGUUAUUACUCAAUGAAGAAAAUUUUAAAAUUAAGGCAAUAUCCCGUAUUUGGAGAUUCGAGAAGUCAUGCCCUAACUUACGGGGUUCAACUUUCUCCUUGAACCUAGAUAACUGAACAUCCCUUUUAAAAUUAAAACACAUGAGAUUUAAUUAAUAAUCGAAUAAUGAGCAAACUUGACUUUGAGGAUUUGAGAUGUUGUGUCCUAACUUAUGGGACGUGACCUUUUUGUUUACCUCGAGAUAAGAAGGCCUUUUACAUAUGUUUUAACUUACUUAAGUGAUUUUAAGUUAAAAUAUCAUUAUACAAGGUGGGAUCGUGUUUUAAAUUCUCUUCAAAUUUUCAAUUUUCAAUUUUCGACAUUAAGACAUCGAAUAAUCAAUUAGGUACCAAUUUUGGGCGUCAUGAGGGUGCUAAUCUUUCCUCGUGCGUAACCGACUCCCGAACUCAUUUCUUAGAUUUUGUAGAUUGAAAAUUGUUUUAAUAAAUCAAACAUUUUAUUAAAAUUACGAGGUGAUCCGAUCACACCUCAUGAAAGUGAUUUGUGACGAUGCCAUUUUCGUUUUUUAAAAUAAAAAAUCGAUUUCAAAAGGGUUUCCACAAUUAACACAAUUAGAAACCAACCCAACCCCCUUAAUAGAAAUUACCUCUUGAUUACUGAAUAUUCGGAACUCAUAGUAGGUGACAAGAAAAUAAACCCUCGCUUUUGAUUGGAAUGCUUGGGAUGGUGUGUUUCAAUUGGAUGUUAUUAUGGUCUUUUAUAGCUUCAGGGAGGGUAACAAUGUUCCAAAAAAUCAACAAUGGCAUCCUCCUAGUUUGUACACCUUCAUUAUAAAAAUACUAUAUUUUAUAACUUUGAAGUCAAUGAUCCAAAAAGAAUAAAAACAAAGUUGAAGUCUCGAUUAUGACUUUUCUAAUUAAUCACCCUUGACUCGGAAUAUGUCGGGACUCUCCAACCUAAUUACAUUUUUUUAAAAUACAAAUGUUUAUUACCAUAUCCAUGCAUAUGAAGCAUAUAUUUUAUCAUUAAUUAGCCAAGUAUUUUGACUCGGUUAGGUUUCAUAAAUUAAAUGAUAUUGAUUUAAAGUACGUAAGCACAACACCAAUAAUUGAACUGCAUUUCAACGUAACUCAAAGAGCCAUUAAUCAAUUAGCGCCACAUAGAAGUAGGGACUUUGUUAUAUAUUGUCAAGUUUAUGUUUAUUUAUUUCAUGGUUUAUUUUGAAUUUUUUUAUAUCAGAAAAAAAUUAAAUUAAAAAUAAUUAUAAAAAGUUUAAAAGUAAAAAAAGAAUAAACCUCAUCAAAAAUCAAGUAAUUUUUUAUUGAAUUUUUUCAUCAAAUUGAGCCUUUAUCGACAAUGAAAUAAUGCUGUGGCAUGUAGCAUGUAUAAUGAAUGUUGAUGUGCCUUGCUAGGUUAAAAUUAUAAAAUUAUUAUAGAAAUCAUUAUAUUCUUAUAAAAAUGAUUUAAAACGUAUGCAUGUAGCAUGCAUGCCAUGGAUCAGAACGAGGUAAACCAGGGCUAGCGGGAUGUAGUAGAGUGCAGAGGGAUGAUAAGGGUGUUGUAAAGGGUUUGUUCUCAGGCCUGCUUGGUGUGAUGAACUCCAACGAAGAUGAGUUACAACUUACAUGCUGGGAAAAAUGCUCUACGCCUCUUUAGCUCUUCGCAAUGGUUACAUAAGAUAUUGUUAGUAAUUCUUUCACAACUGAUAAGGUAUAUGUGGUAAUUCAUACUUUUGAUUCUAAUCAUAUUUUUUCAUAUGAGACUUUUGGUUAUUGUGAGAAGGCGGAUCAAAGGGCUAAAGUGUUAAAAUUUCCAAAAGUUAGAUCAGUUUUUGAAAUUGAGGAGCAAAGAAAAAAGGUAGAGGUAAAAAGAGUAAGAACAAUUUUCCAAAACCAAAAUCUUCAGGAGAAAAAUUGUUAAUGAAUAGCUAUCAUAUUCCGAUUUUCAAAAUCAAAAGAAGAUAUCAUGGAAAGAGGCGACGGAGGCAUGGAAAUUUGAAAUGAGGUCCAAUUUGGCCCCAUACUUCAAAGUUUAAAAUUUUUGUUUUAUUCUCCAAAAAUUUUGAUGACAUUCAGUUUAGCCCCUGACUUGAAACCAAAUUUUAAACCUUAGUUCUAAAAUCAAAUUAAAAUUUAACUUAGUUCUAGUGUCAUAAGACUAGACUUUCAGUCUCGUAAUUCGUGCAGCCUUAGGCGAUUCUAUCGUUUCAAAUGUGCCGAAGUCAGUCUAACUUUCACAAAGUGAGGAUUCUCGCAGAAUUCCUCCAAGGCACCAAUUUAUAUAGCGGAAGCAACUCAAGUCAAAAGAAUGUUCAAAAGAACAGAAUAACUACAAAAAACAAUGCAUGAGAGGUGUUUGAGCAGAUGCUAUCAGAAAAUUCUAUUACUCUAAGAAUUUAGGAUACAAUGGAUGAUUUACAACUGAGGGGGAGACUACCUAUUUACAGUUGAGUUCCCCCAAAUCCAAUGGUCUAGCUAAAUUUACAUCGACAGACGAGAUAAAGUCUAUCCCUACAAUUAAGGGAUUUAUAAGAUUACAUAAUCAAAUCUAAUCUAAUCUUAUUAAAUAUUAUACUACUCAAUCUUCUAAGAUUAGUUUCCUUAUUUACCAAGGUAGCCUAAUUUCUCAUAUUUGUAUCAUGGGUCGACUGAUCUCCAUCUAACCGAUAGACUUCAAUGGGAUGCAUUUUGUGCAAUGGUAACAGGUUUUGAACUGCAGCUCGUGACACUAGAAUUAGAUUAAUAGGUCAAUUUAACUUAAAACCACAUAAGCCCUUAUUUCAAUAAAAUAAAUGUCCAACAAAUUCCAUGCUGAAAAGCACAAACAAAGUUAGGUGUUUACAGUCACCCCUCUUUGCAUGUUGCUUGCUAGUAAGGAAAAUGCAAAGAUGAAGACUCAUAAUUAUUUUUUACUUAAAAAAAAAAACCAACCAAACAAAAUAAGGUCUUAAAAAGUGAAGGAAUCUAUUAGUAGGAUUUUUUGUGAAAAAGAAGAAUGGAUGGAGCUCAAAACUUUGAAAAAACUAAGGAUGGGAUUGGAUGGGCGGUGGUUUACUUGCAGUUAGUGUAAAAAUUGAACCUCACAACCAAGCCUCUAAAUAGGCAAGUAAAUUGGGUUUCUAAAUGUAAAUUGACUUCACUGAUCGAGAAUAGACCUCAAAACUAGGUCUCUAAUGAUAAUGGACCCCAAAACUAGGUUUCUUAAUAUGAUCUUGGUUUUGUUGUAAUGUUAUAACGAAUCUUUAUUUUGUUUUUUAUCAUAUUCAUAUCAGAUUCAGAUCGACAAAAAUUGAACAAUUAAAUAAAAUUAAACUCAAAUUUUCGCUGGUAAAUAUGUACUCUUUUUCUAAUUCAAUUGUCGAGUUGACUCAUGACCUCUCAGAAUCUCUGGUUUGUUCCGCCAUCCUCCCCGAAAAUCAUUAGGAUUCAUUUUCAAUAAAAUCCUCAGCAUUCAAAACAAAAUUCUUUUUUAUAUAAGAAAACAAUUAAGACACAUUUAAGAUUCUUUAUUAGUCUUAUAAUUUAUAAAGAUGGAUGAAAAUGAACUUUCCGAAGGAUUUCAUAUCUUGAUUAAGGCUACUAGAGUUUGAAAAUUCAAAUUAGCACGUCUUGUUUUCCUCAGAGACUGCAGCUAACACCUGCUAUAAUUGCAUAUUGAUGAAGAAAGCAUACAUCACAGACCGAUCGACAAAACAAUUUAUAACAACUACUGUAAUUUUGGGUAAUUUUUAUUUUCCUAUAGAAAAUAUUGUUCAAAGAUUAAAAUAGAGGACUUGUUGGUUUAUCCAAAAAGUGCUGCAAAUCCCAUCUUCCAUGACUGAUUGCUGAGAUUAUACCCUCCAUCGACAGGCACGUUAACACCACUGAUAAAUUUAGCCUCAUCGCUUGCCAAAUACAGUGCUGCAUGUGCAAAAUCUUCAGGUUCCAAUACGGUGCCUUUCAACACAGCUGAAGCCGCAAUCAUCUCCUCUCCCCUCUUCUUAUCGAACAACCCCAGUGUUGUUUGGAACAAUGGGGUCACAGUUGCGUGAGGUGAAAUGCAAUUAACUCUAAUUCCAUGCUCACCUAACUCCACGGCCAAGCUCUUCGUCAACCCUACGACGCCAUGCUUCGAUGCCUUGUAUGCAUGGGGCAGACCGAUGCUGAUUUUUGAAGAAAUACUCGACGAGAAGAGAAUGCAAC
RNAcentral lists this long non-coding RNA (9414 nucleotides) under Gossypium raimondii (Peruvian cotton). RNAcentral describes it as "long non-coding RNA (GRAI_LNC001695)". The record is from RNAcentral. Lineage: Eukaryota; Viridiplantae; Streptophyta; Magnoliopsida; Malvales; Malvaceae.